This 336-nucleotide unclassified non-coding RNA is filed under the name soil metagenome. RNAcentral's name for it is "partial contains 5.8S ribosomal RNA, internal transcribed spacer 2, and large subunit ribosomal RNA". The stretch from base 1 to 120 matches the Rfam family "5.8S ribosomal RNA", at positions 35 to 154 of the family's 154-position model. The record is from RNAcentral.
GAUGAAGAACGUAGCGAAAUGCGAUAAGUAAUGUGAAUUGCAGAAUUCAGUGAAUCAUCGAAUCUUUGAACGCACAUUGCGCCCAUUAGUAUUCUAGUGGGCAUGCCUGUUCGAGCGUCAUUUCAACCCUUAAGCCUAGCUUAGUGUUGGGAAUCUGCUGUAUUGCAGUUCCUCAAAUACAACGGUGGAUCUGUAACAUCCUCUGAGCGUAGUAAAUUUUUAUCUCGCUUUUGUUAGGUGUUGCAGCUCUCAGCCGCUAAACCCCCCAAUUUUUGUGGUUGACCUCGGAUCAGGUAGGAAUACCCGCUGAACUUAAGCAUAUCAAUAAGCGGAGGA